CCACUGAAGCAGAUGCAGGGCAGCUGAGAAGAGCGGUUGGUUUCAGAGGCUCCAAUUCCUCAUGGUGGGCACCUUCCUCCUUCUCUUGGCGGGAGGCUGGAGGUGGUUGAGGUCUGUGCUGUCCACCGCUGGCUGCCAGCUCAGCUCAGCUUGGGAGAGUUGUCACCAGUCUCUGGCUCCAAGCAGGUUUGGUAGGAAGCAACUGCCUACUUAUGAAGAUUUAUGGAGAAGCCGACAGACAUUAGGCUCCGACGCAGACCUCAGACAUUUUAUGCCAGUCAUCUGAAAUCUUGGAGAAAGCCUGCGAGGUGAGCACCAUCAUCUCUCCGCUGCUCCUACAGCAGCACGAGGCUCAAAGAGGCUAAAUAACCCACAGCUGGCCUCACAGCUAGACACCUGACUCAUGUCACAGUUCCUCAGCUGCUGGUUGUGCUAAUUUAGGAGGCCACAGAACCUUUAGGAAGUGUUGGGGGCUAGCUCUUAGAAGCAGGACAACAAGACUUUGAAGGGUCCAUCUCCAGCUGGUUCCAGUGGCUCUCCACUUCCUGGUCUCCUGGGAUGUGGGAGCCGCACUCUGCCACCGUGAACUCUGCCAGGCCUUCCCCAGCACAGCAGGUGAAAACCUCAGAAACCGGGAGCCAAGAUAAAGCUAUCCUUCCUUCUGUUGUUUCUGCCUGGUAUUUUGGUCACAGAGAUGCAACAGCAGCUUGUCCACGUGAGUGGGGGACAGGAUGUUAAUUCCAAAGCAUUCAUGACGAAAGCUGGAGCCUUUGGCAGCAGAGACCAUUCUCUCAAGGAUUCAAGAUCUACCGAAAGAGGGCUCAACUAUCAGGAGCACAUUCAAGGAACUGUCUUGGUUUUGAGUCUUAGAACUACUUUGUGCUGUUUCUACUGUGGACUGUGCACUGUAGUACCCAAUGGCUCUUUUAUCACAGGACAGUUCCGGGGACCUACAUGAGUUCUGCAUGCUUCAGCGUGAGGAAGUUAUAGGGGAACCGAAGAGCUGGCGGGACUUACUUCACAGAGAGGCAGAACUGAAUGAACGGAAUCCCCUUCGCCUCCGUGGGAUGCCUUCACUCUUGAGGGUUUGUGAUUUAGAGUCCAGCCUUAGACACAGGUUUUUAGGAAUCUAUAAAAAUGGAUGAGAAUUGAAAACUUUAUUGGCCCCUAAAGAAAAACUAUGAAAUUGAAUUAAUAAAAUUUCAAUUUGUGGAAAUGGC
Long non-coding RNA from Meriones unguiculatus (Mongolian gerbil), 1220 nucleotides. RefSeq lists it as uncharacterized. NCBI's taxonomy places the organism in Eukaryota, Metazoa, Chordata, Mammalia, Rodentia, Muridae. The record is from RefSeq and is a predicted model, not a curated record. The transcript is spliced from 3 exons.